CCCUUAGAUGUCCUGGGCCGCACGCGCGUUACACUGAUGCAUUCAACGAGCUUAUAACCUUGGCCGAGAGGCCUGGGCAAUCUUGUUAACGUGCAUCGUGAUAGGGAUAGAUUAUUGAAAUUAUUAAUCUUGAACGAGGAAUUCCUAGUAAGCGCAGAUCAUCAAUCUGCAUUGAUUACGUCCCUGCCCUUUGUACACACCGCCCGUCGCACCUACCGAUUGGAUGGUCCGGUGAAGCCUCGGGAUUGUGGUUCUUGCCGCUUUAUUGUAGCGUGACCGCGAGAACUUGUCUAAACCUUAUCAUCUAGAGGAAGGUGAAGUCGUAACA
This 328-nucleotide ribosomal RNA is filed under the name uncultured eukaryote. RNAcentral's name for it is "partial 18S ribosomal RNA". It matches the Rfam family "Eukaryotic small subunit ribosomal RNA", at positions 1470 to 1796 of the family's 1831-position model. The record is from RNAcentral.